This is a small nucleolar RNA of Oryctolagus cuniculus (rabbit), 122 nucleotides long. The record is from RefSeq and is a predicted model, not a curated record. NCBI's taxonomy places the organism in Eukaryota, Metazoa, Chordata, Mammalia, Lagomorpha, Leporidae.
UUCCGAAGUGUUGAGUUCCGUUCAGCGUGGCUUUCUUGUUCUGGUCACUAAACUCUGGGACAUGGAAGGGGGCUAGGAGGUGGAAAGUAACACAGUAUUCAUUUACCUCCCAGCCUACAGCA